This 253-nucleotide ribosomal RNA is filed under the name uncultured bacterium. RNAcentral's name for it is "partial 16S ribosomal RNA". It matches the Rfam family "Bacterial small subunit ribosomal RNA", at positions 524 to 776 of the family's 1533-position model. The record is from RNAcentral.
UACGGGGGGGGCAAGCGUUGUUCGGAAUUACUGGGCGUAAAGGGCUCGUAGGUGGCCAACUAAGUCAGACGUGAAAUCCCUCGGCUUAACCGGGGAACUGCGUCUGAUACUGGAUGGCUUGAGUUCGGGAGAGGGACGCGGAAUUCCAGGUGUAGCGGUGAAAUGCGUAGAUAUCUGGAGGAACACCGGUGGCGAAGGCGGCGUCCUGGACCAACACUGACACUGAGGAGCGAAAGCCAGGGGAGCAAACGGG